RNAcentral lists this long non-coding RNA (2820 nucleotides) under Equus caballus (horse). RNAcentral describes it as "lncRNA (ENSECAG00000047634.1)". Lineage: Eukaryota; Metazoa; Chordata; Mammalia; Perissodactyla; Equidae. The record is from RNAcentral.
UGCAUGAGAAAAAUAAUGUGGCUCGCUUACUCUUUGAUACAGUAAAGAACUACUUUUUCUCUUAUAAGGAAACAAAAAAACCACACAAGCACAAUCUUAAAUGGCAGCCGAUGCUCAGCGUCUGGGAGAUAAUAAGGAGGGGCUGAAUCCGUGGGGAACCAGGAAGCAGCCGCUGCUCAGGUCCCGUCAAUGUCUGCCAAUAGGUAAUAUGACUACUAGCAAAUGUUUUUCAUUUCUCAAAAGAAUCCGGAAAAACAGACCUUUAUAUGAAAUCUCCAAUAUUUAAAGUUUUGCUCAAGCAUAACAUAUCUGCAUGCCAGACAUAGCCGGCCAGAGAGAACACAUCUCCAUGCCAGAUACGGUCAGUGGCUCACCAAUUGGCGGCUUCCUCACUACUGAUUACUAACGGCAGUGGUUUUCAGAGCACAACCCGUUAUUCGAUCACGUAAUCAGCAUAAGGGAUUGCAUGUAGCAUUUUUAAAUGAAAUAGAAUUGCAUGAAAGAAGAUAGAGUUGAAAUAUAUCACAUUUAAUAAAGAUAUAUCACAUUUAAUCAGGAUAGGCAUUACAGUAGACACGUGCACAUACAUCUGUGUGUGUGUGUAGCGGGUCACUAUUUAAAAAUCUAUUUCUGACUGUAAUCAAAGGUUUGAAAGUCACUACCCAGGUGAUGUUGUUUCAGUCCUUUACCUUCAAUUGCAACUUAAAUGCCAAAGACUGUGAAAUGAUCAUCUGUUUGCUAGAUUGCUCUCUUGAACUUCAGCCGCUUAUUUUCAGUUAUCUGCUGGAUAUUGUCACUUGGAUAAUCCACAGGUGCAAAAUGCAGGGCAACAGAGCGAUUAAAAUAAAGGGCUUUGUGGUCAAACAGAUCCCAGUUUGUCUUACGAUUUCUUAGUCUGCUUUUUCAUCCUUAAAAUCAGGAUAAUUGAACGCUAUAAAUAGGGUUAUUAAAAGAAUUUGUCCUUAGAACAGUGCCUGGCACGUAUAAAAAUAAACAAAUAUUGCUUGAGCACAACCAUAUUCCAGGCAUCGUUCUCGGCAGAGAUUGAUGAGAAAAGUCAGCCCUUCCGUGAGACAGCGCUGCUUUCAGUAGUUCAAGAAAGGAAGUUAAAAUCAACAAACAUCUCCUAAGGUUUUACUGGAUCCAUCCUGCAGUCCUUUCAUAAUGUCACCUCUCAAUACCCUUUCCAAAUAGCCUCCUUGAAGUUUGCUAACUUACGACCACAGGAUGACCUGCUUCUCCCUCGUGUCACGAGCCUCUCCCUGCCCCUGCUGACAACGAGACGGUUCUCAGAGAGGAAUGUCCAAUGAGUAUUUCUGGUUUGGCUGCUCUCCUUCCAGUGGUUCAGAGGACUCAGAGACCCAGGGUUCUCCCACCUUGUGACUUCACCAUCUGUAGCUCGUAACUGCCAAUAUCCUCUGAGAAUCCUCUUCAACCCAUUCAGCUGGGAACGGAAAAGAGCUUGAGUUUCUAUAGGCUGCAUCAGGAAAUGGCAUGGGUCGCUUCUGCUCACAUUCUAAGGACUAGAUAUCAGUCCUGUGACUGUACUUAAGGAGAAAAGAGAUUGGAAAUGUGGGCCAGCCAUGCCCAGGAAGACAAGGAAAUGGAGAAGAAAAUCAUCUAGCAGUUUCUGCCACAGUGAGAACGUUCAACAACAGUGCCCAGGACUCGCACAGCCGAGAGCUGUGCUUGCCACCUAAGUUAAGUCAAUCGGAAAAGAAAUCCUGAAUGACUCUCGGUUAAAAUGUUCAAUUACUGGACCAAAAAACACAAGUCAGAAACAUAAGUGAGUUAGGGAUUUUAGGUCCAGAAUGAGAAGUUUGGGGCUAGCAGGCCAGGGCAGGUAUGCCAGCUCAUCAACAUUAUCAGGAAGCCAGGCCUCUUCUACUUUCCUGCACCACCAUCUUUAGAAUGUGGUUGAGGUUCUCAGGUUGGCUUCUGGUCCUCCAGGCAUCGUUUCCACCUUCCAGACAGAAAGAUGUGCAGAGUUGGAAAAUUCCGCCCAAGGCUUCGGCUGUGUCACUUAGACGCCUAACUGGGAGACUGGGCAGGCGGGCACUUUCAUUUCCUGACUCCCAAUAGUGGAAAAAGAGAAAAGGGAUUGGAAUGUGCUGAGUGAACACUUGUCUGUUUGCACAAUUGGAGUGUUUGGAGCUGAUUCAUCUCUAAUGAACCUUUAACUCUUAAAGGUGUUUGCUUCUGCACUGAAAACACCCAGGAGUCCUGAGCUGCUCUGGUUCUUGUUAUUUCUUCAUCCUGGCUCUUAAAGCUUCCCUUUUACUUCUCUGAGCUAUGUUAUCUUCCCAAUAAAUUUCCUUUGCUAUUUUAGUCAGUAAGAGCUAAUUUAUGUUGCUUGCUACCAACAAACCCUGACACCACCUAACAAAUGAUUCAGGAUGUUUAAAGGUCCAGGAAGUGUCAAGCUUAUGAAUAUUCAUUCCUCUUUCAAGAGUUCAGAAUCUACUGGGCACUUAGCCUUGUCCAUGGAAUGUCUCAGCAACAAUUUGGAAUCAAAAUUUUAAAUGAAUAUUUGGCAAUUGUUAAAGUAUACAAAAGACGUCUAUUGGAAAUGGAAAUAUUCAUCCAAUGGAACAUUUAGGUAAAACAAAUUUUUUCAUCCCUGAAUGCACUCUUAUUGGUGCAGACUGGCUAGUGACUGGAGCUGGUUAAAAAAUGGUGCAAAUGAGUUACUUUGUUAAAUGAAAUUGAUCAUUAUUUAAAAACAAUAAUUUCAUUAAACUCUUAUUAACCUUAAGAUCCUCUUGAUUUCUUCCACACAGCACCACAAGAAAGGCACUAGAAAAAGAAAAAAAAAUCUAC